RNAcentral lists this long non-coding RNA (490 nucleotides) under Gouania willdenowi (blunt-snouted clingfish). RNAcentral's name for it is "lncRNA (ENSGWIG00000014143.1)". The record is from RNAcentral. Lineage: Eukaryota; Metazoa; Chordata; Actinopteri; Blenniiformes; Gobiesocidae.
UGUUGACAGGUUGUCAUGGGAACUCAGGCUAAGAUCAAAGUUGCACAAAAUCUACAUGAGGAACUGCACUAAAGACUGUUAGAAUUCAGAAACCACCGCAUAAAGAUUGACCAGAAGAUAUCCUCAGUGACAAGUGUUUGUGAUCAAAUUCAGAUCUGGUGUGAUUAACAUUGGAACCUGCUCUCCAUCCUGAAAAACAGAAGGAUGCAGAAUAAACAGACAGAGAGGAGAGGAAAAAGGUACACAAAGAUCUUUACCAAUGAUGACAGAAAGCAAAUGCCUGAUAGCAAGACAACUGGAGGAAGAUCUACUCCCUGUAUCAACAAGGCUAAUGCUAAGCUGGCUACUGGACUCACGAUUGGAGUGUCAGAGAAAGAGAAGAAAACAAUUGCUGAGAAGAGGAAAGAAAAGUACAAAGCGGAAAUGCAGAAACAAAUUCCUAAAAAUCAGACAGAAUAAGUUGGGGCUGCUGGUUUGGAUCCUCAAGUUC